AAAACCCUUGAAUGAGUAGGUGUGUCCAAAUGUUUGACUGGUACUGUAUAUGUAAUCUAUAUACACUGCAAAUACGCAAAGCACUGUUUAUAGGCUGUAAAGAGACAGUUACUGGAAGGACAUGAAAGGAAAGGCAGAGUCGGAGUCAGGAAACAACAGUCAGUGGUGCAAGACAAGACAAGCUACUAACAGGAAAUGUCAUUUUCAGAGGGGAUGGUCAGAAGGAGGGAUAGUUGAAGCAGGAAGCCAAGUCCCCGACUGAGAGUGUUAAAGCGGACCUGAACGACUGCCCCAGAGACUGGCUGUUACAUCCCUUUUGACUGCUCAGACAACAGCAAGGAGGAGACAGACAUCCACCUGCCAGCACUGCACCAUCAUCCUCCCAUGGCUCAGACCUAACCUAACAAUUAUCGAUGUGGAUCGAUGCAAUUCACCCAGAUCAUGGUCUAAUGUGAAAGCCCUUUACUGCAUUACAAGAGCACUCCUCUUUGCUUUCAUGCUGCAUUUAGUAUCUGUAGCCUAUGUGGUUGGCACUGCAAUUGUUAUGCAUGAAGCUACUGUACACAAUUUCCUGUUUCAGUGAGUUGGUUUGGCUGCUGGUUUGUAAAUGUUAAUGAUGAUGUAUCCCAAGCCUUUCAAAUCACUGACAUUGGACCUGUGAAAUCAUCGCAGUAGGCUAGGCUUUGUUUUUAGCACAAUGUGCAAUGUCAACUUUACUGUGUGUGGGUGUACAGUACAAGAGGUGCCUGUGGAAAUGGGAGAGAUUAAAUACAGGCAGGUCACCCAUGAUACAAGUCAGUAUUCAAUGUCCAUACAUGUCUGAGGAGGUCGAGGGGGGGGGACGUUGAAACUGGCUCUAGGGGCAACAGAAUGUGCUGUUAUCUUUAAGUGGGUAUUGUGGACAGAGAUGGCAGAUGUGCAUAAGCAUCUGCCUGUGACUCCAAAGGGUGCAUGUUUGAAUCCAGCAAUAGAAAGUUGUUUUUGAUAUUUUGCUUUAAGCCUAUCCCUAACCUUAACCCUUACCUUAACCAUUUGGCGUUAAUGCCUAACCUUAAUUCUUCUGAGUUAAUAACUAAAACUUAACCUUGGAAUUAUACAGAGAAGUAACUAAACACUUUGACGUUUGAUGUUUGGAAUAACUUCAAUAUUUGAUGUUUAAGAAACAUGGAUGAACGUCUAAUUCUGAUGUGCGACUGCGAGAGCUUGUUGAUUAAAUGAGGGUUUAAAGGAUUUUUAUACUGUAUCUUACAGUUUUGAUUUAUGGUAUUAUUUAACAUUUUGUUAAAGUGCUUUGAGAGUUAGUAGCAUACUGUCCGUUACUUGAAUGCUCUCCUUCAUUAAAGCAAUUGUUACACCAAUGUAUUAUUAAAAUGCCUAUGAAACAUU
Salmo salar (Atlantic salmon) is the source of this 1386-nucleotide non-coding RNA. Lineage: Eukaryota; Metazoa; Chordata; Actinopteri; Salmoniformes; Salmonidae. The record is from RefSeq and is a predicted model, not a curated record.